GGGUGGGGGAGGGUUGAGAGGGUGGAGUGGGAGAUUUGGGAGAAUAUGAAUUAGGGCUUGGAGCUGAUAAAAAGNNAUUCCUGACUAUCCUCCUUCUUAACCAAGUGACUGGUGUGGGGUGGUUAGGAGGGGGAGGAAGUGAAAUGGACGAAAGAUGGGUUCUGGUUCAGCUCUGUGGAAGAAUGCCUUGUUUGCUUAGAUGUAGCUGGGGACCUGGUGUCAGAAAAAAGAAACUGUCCAUCUAAAUUUGAAAGAUGCAAACAGCUUCUCUGGUACUGCAGAGCAAGAUGAACACUUGAUGUUAAAUGUUCUUAAAAAAAGAAAAAGUUCUGUCCUUGAAAUAGAUUGGCUGUGGGAAGAAGGGCAGUGAGGGUCGGGGAAGGGGGCCAUGAGCGUGGGGAGCCCCACAGAGCCCAGGGGACUUUUUCAGUAUGUGAAAUAAAAAACAAACAAACAAAAAGAAGACCCACGAAAAAACCCAACCCAGAAAUACUCUGAAGCAGUUGGUGUGUUUUAUUGGGGUUUGGGAAAAGGGAAGAAAAUAAAUAAGACUGAAGACACCUUUCGGGGGAGAAGCUGGUGUGGGUCUCUGAGUUUCUAAGGGACAGGGGCCCUUCAUGUGGGAUGUCUGGGUUGCCCAUUUCCAUCAUUUAGGGGAAAGGGAGCAGGGGUGUUGGCAUAUAGACCAGGACUUUCUCUGACUUUCAUCCAUGCUGUUGUUUCUAAAGCUAAUGCAGAAGAUGGAGCGAUCUCAGGUUUUGACUCACAAAAUGAGAUAUUUGAGGUAUUUGAUCUAAAUGGUUUAUUGACACCUAAAGCUUAGUUGAGGCUAAACAAAAAAGGAAGCCCACUCUUUUCCCAUUCAGUUUUCCAUCACUUCACAAGAUCCCAAGUCUGUGAAGGACAGAUGGGAGUUCUAGUAAUAAACCAAAAGGAACUCACCCCUUUCUGCUUGUGGCCAGCAGGAGGCAGAGUCACUUCUUUCUUCAUGAUGUCCUAACCAUUGCUGAAAUCCUGCUACUGAAAGAAGUUUAAAACUACUUAUGAACAUAAUAUACAAAAGAAACAUUACCAAGGAGAAAUAAACUCACAAUUGUCUCCUCUCACAUUCAGACCAAACCUACCACGUGUAAAGAUUGAAAUUUGCCCAGGUUUGAUUAGGAGAAUUUAUCAUGGUAUUUUCCCAAAUGUGAGAGUAUGCAUCAAGAAAGAGAAACAAGGUCCAGAGAAAUAGACAUGCAAGAGAAAUUUCCAUCGCCUAAAGAGGGGGGAGUACUUCUAAACUAGAGAAGGAAUGCUGUG
RNAcentral lists this long non-coding RNA (1302 nucleotides) under Sus scrofa (pig). Its description in RNAcentral is "lncRNA (ENSSSCG00005013068.1)". The record is from RNAcentral. Lineage: Eukaryota; Metazoa; Chordata; Mammalia; Artiodactyla; Suidae.